UACGGGGGGAGCAAGCGUUGUUCGGAUUUACUGGGCGUAAAGGGCGCGUAGGCGGUCAGCACAAGUCAGUUGUGAAAUCUCCGGGCUUAACCCGGAAAGGUCAACUGAUACUGUGCGACUAGAGUGCGGAAGGGGCAACUGGAAUUCUCGGUGUAGCGGUGAAAUGCGUAGAUAUCGAGAGGAACACCUGCGGCGAAGGCGGAUCUCUGGGCCAUAACUGACGCUGAGGAGCGAAAGCAUGGGGAGCGAACAGG
This 254-nucleotide ribosomal RNA is filed under the name uncultured bacterium. RNAcentral's name for it is "partial 16S ribosomal RNA". It matches the Rfam family "Bacterial small subunit ribosomal RNA", at positions 524 to 776 of the family's 1533-position model. The record is from RNAcentral.